RNAcentral lists this ribosomal RNA (371 nucleotides) under uncultured bacterium. Its description in RNAcentral is "bacterial SSU rRNA". It matches the Rfam family "Bacterial small subunit ribosomal RNA", at positions 527 to 896 of the family's 1533-position model. The record is from RNAcentral.
AGAGGGGGCAAGCGUUGUUCGGGAUUACUGGGCGUAAAGGGCGCGUAGGCGGCCUGUUAAGUCGAACGUGAAAUCCCUGGGCUCAACCCAGGAACUGCGUCCGAUACUGGCAGGCUUGAAUCCGGGAGAGGGAUGCGGAAUUCCAGGUGUAGCGGUGAAAUGCGUAGAUAUCUGGAGGAACACCGGUGGCGAAGGCGGCAUCCUGGACCGGCAUUGACGCUGAGGCGCGAAAGCCAGGGGAGCAAACGGGAUUAGAUACCCCGGUGGUCCUGGCCUUAAACGAUGAAUGCUUGGUGUGGCGGGUAUCGAUCCCUGCCGUGCCGAAGCUAACGCAUUGAGCAUUCUGCCUGGGGAGUACGGUCGCAAGGCUG